RNAcentral lists this non-coding RNA (24 nucleotides) under Arabidopsis thaliana (thale cress). The record is from RNAcentral. Lineage: Eukaryota; Viridiplantae; Streptophyta; Magnoliopsida; Brassicales; Brassicaceae.
UCUGACAUCUCGUCUCUCUGCAGA